This 250-nucleotide ribosomal RNA is filed under the name uncultured bacterium. RNAcentral describes it as "partial 16S ribosomal RNA". It matches the Rfam family "Bacterial small subunit ribosomal RNA", at positions 524 to 773 of the family's 1533-position model. The record is from RNAcentral.
UACGAAGGGGGCUAGCGUUGCUCGGAAUCACUGGGCGUAAAGGGCGCGUAGGCGGAUCUUUAAGUCGGGGGUGAAAGCCUGUGGCUCAACCACAGAAUUGCCUUCGAUACUGAGGAUCUCGAGACCGGAAGAGGUGAGUGGAACUGCGAGUGUAGAGGUGAAAUUCGUAGAUAUUCGCAAGAACACCAGUGGCGAAGGCGGCUCACUGGUCCGGUUCUGACGCUGAGGCGCGAAAGCGUGGGGAGCAAAC